CUUAGGUAUUGCAUCAGGAGUUAGGAGAGUCAGAGUUAUAACAAAGAAGAUCGUGUGGCUCCUUUGAAGAAAAAGUGAGAAUAAGCAGCAAGAUUAAAGCCAUAAAAAACUAGAAUAAUGAUUGACUCAAUUUUGAUGAACUGAAAAGGCUAUGGAUAACAAGAGUUCCAGAACUUCCUUUUCUAUGAAGUCCUGUGCCUGCUCAUUGAAAAACAAUGAAUCAGUCUAGACUUGCAAGACGAAAUAAUUCCCUCAAAGCUGGACAUUUAUAUAUUAUUUAUGUAGCAUAUUUCAAUAUUGAUGGUAUAGCCUCAUAUACAGUUGAUUGUAAAACCAUUCUUUCUGUUAGAGUAGGUAGGCAGACAUGAGCAGGGCAGGAGAAGCCCACCCACACAUACCAGGAAUGUCAAGAGAGCAUCAGGUGAUGGUCAGGCAGCUGUUAAACUGCCUCUCUAACAUAAUAAUUGAUUCCAGCUGGUACCGGUGAAAGGCAGUCUCCCAACAGAUAGAAAACACCUGAAGCUGGUGAUCAGCAGCUUUAGAAAACACGGGAAGCUGGUGAUCAGCAGCUUCCAGAUAAGAUCUCAGCACUCUAAGAGACAAGAUGGUGGAAUUUAACUAGUAUAUGACCUUUCUUUAGGAACGCUCAACUGGUAUCCAGAUGCAGAAGUCUUACUUCCUGCUUUUCUAUGACAUCAUCCUUCAGAAGGCGGGGCAUAGGCAAGAACAUGAUAAAGCACUUCUCCUUCCUGCCAUCAUGUGAAGAAGGAUGUGUUUGCUUCCCCUUCUGCCAGGAUUGUACGUUUCCUGAAGCCUCCCCAGCCUGCAGAACUGCAUUCACAUUCACUCACCACUUACUGACUCACCCGGAGCAACUUCCAGCCCUGCAAGCUUCAUUUAUGAAAAGAAUAGCUAGCAUGAUGUAUUUCAAGUUUCUGGCAUGUCAUUUUCACUGAGACGUCUGAAGACCAGAAAGACUUUGCAGAAUUUCAAAACACUUAUUAGAUGGUUUUGAGACUAGCAGAUUAAUACACAUUUGGUUUUUCAAUGUACAGCCGUAAAUGGACAUGGAAUGACCAAAAAGCUGCAUUAAGCUUCAUGGAGACCAUUCAGUUUUCCACAGUAGUGUUUGGUGUAUACAGUAAAGAAGAUAGAGAGAAGGAGAGGAAGCUAGUGAGAGGGAGGGGGAGAAAAGAGGGACUUUACUGGGUUGCAUAAUGAUAGUCAAAAUAGUUUAAGGAAAGCAAAAUUUUAUAAUAAAUUAAUACAUUUAGCCUUUUUUAUUUCUCUUAAAAUUUUUGUUUGGACCCAGAAUAAAUUUUUAUUUAACUUAUAUUUCUCAGUGUUGACAUAAGGUACAAAUUCAUUAAAUUUUUACCUUUGCCAGAAUUACUCUUUUUACCUUUAUACACCAAUAAAAGGAUGAUAAAAUUUAAGUUUAAAGAGAUUACAUUUAGGCCAGGCACGGUGGCUCGUGCUUGUAAUCCCAGCACUUUGGGAGGCUGAGGCGGGCAGAUUACUUGAGGACAAGAGUUCAAGAUCAGCCUGGCCAACAUGGCGAAACCUCUCUCUACUAAAAAUUAGCUGGUGUUGGUGCACUUGCCUCUCGUCCCAGCUACUCGGGAGGCUGAGGCACGAGAAUGGUUUGAACUCAGGAGCCAGAGGUUACUGUGUGCUGAGAUUGUGCCACUGCAUUCCAGCCUGGGCAACAAAGUGACACUGUCUGAUAAAACAAACAAACAGACAGAAAGUUUACAUUUAAAUUUGUUUCUAUUUAUAACUCGUUCUCUUUAUUUUACCAAGUUCUAAAUAUAAUUUCUCUAAUUUAUUUGGGUAGAUAAGAUUAAUAAUUCAAGACUUGAUUCUAGAAAACAUAAUCAAAUUUGUUAAGUAACCUGAAUGUGGAUUUUGGUCACUCAAAUCUCUUUUCCUUAAUGUGUGUCAUAAAUGCAUAACAUGACAUUAUUACUAACAACUGUAAAAUACUCCACACAUCAUAAAGUUGAAUGUACAAUUCAUUGAAUUAGUAAAAAAUCCAUGUUAAUUUCAUAAAUGUUCCUAUAGACAACACACAUUUCACUAUAGAUGUGCAAGUACAUUAUCUUAUAUUGUUUGCUUGCUAACUAAUUAAAAUUAUUUUUUCUAUAAUAUUAUAGAAGAGGUUUAUGGCAAUAAUCAACCGGUCUCCUAAAUCUAUGGUUUCCUUGUUAUAUGUUUUGUGGAUAAAAUUGAUUGAAUAAAUGAUAUUUCUCAUAAUCAGUUAAAGGAUGGUAAAAUGCUUUUUCACAAUAUUUAUUCAAAAGUUGCAAAAUGAUCAAAUUAAUUUUCUUGAAAUUAAAACUAUAUAUUAACAUUAAAAAGUUAUCUUAAUCAAAAUGAUCCAAAAUUAAACCUAGACCUUAAGAGUAAUUUAUAACUGAAUUAAAUAUGGUACUAUAUAAUUAAAUUAAGUAUUGUUCUAUAAGUUGGCAUUUUAGAAGGCAUAAAAUGAAAUUAUUUACCCUUAAAUAAUUCAUAGCUUACUGGAAUAAAAUCCUUUUGUGAAAUUAGCUCAUUUGGUUUUUACUCAAUACUAUGUCCCUCAAUUAAACUUUUUGUCCAAUAUAUGUUCAUUUUAAACAAUGAACAUAUAUUUACUCUGAUGCCAAAAGUAUUUAAAUAAUUUUAUGUAUUUUCCAAAAACUUAGUCAGAAAAUAUAUCAAGGUAUAAUUUUAAUAAUUUACAUACAUCACAUAUCUAGCUUCUAUAAUACAAACUCCAUAUUAAUUUCUGUAUAUCACACUAUUAAUGAUUCACUCAAUUCAUUCUGAUUUUUUCUCAAGAGACCUUUGUUUAAUGUCUUAUAUUAAAUAAAAGAAUUUUAGUUUGCUAAUAACAAAAUCAUUAGAAAAACAUUUAAAGUAAUAAAUUGAUUUGUAUUCAUAUAGAAUUUAAAAAAAUUAAAGUUCUAUUUAUAAUUAUGAGACUAUGUUCAAAGCAGAAAAUAAUCUGUUGUAUAUAGAAACACAAACAUGUUUUUUAAAACUGAUUUCUAGUGAAAAUGAUUUGAGAUCAUCUUUAGAGGGCAGCAUCUAACUAGGGAAAGAGGUAUUUCAGGCUAAUAUGUUUGAGCCAUUGCAAUGGUUAUAUCUGGUUGUUGGAAGUUGAUAGCCUAUUAAAACAUCACCGAUUUCAUAAUUCCAAUAUCAGAAGACACUAAAUAACAGCAUCUGACAUUAGUCUCCAUGAAUAAUCCAGUUGAACGUGCACCUCAUUAAAUGUCACCUGUUCUUAAAGGCAUGUGUAUUUUUACAGUAGAUAUUACAGUAUCUCAGAACACAUUUAUUUUUACUCAAAGCAUGGUAAUACAUAGCAAUAGCAAUCUAGGCUUUAACCAAUAUGUAUUAUAAAAAUAAGAGUGGGAGAAUGAAUUUCCAAUAUAUUUUUUAAUCGUAUCAUAGCACAAUUUUUUUUAAUGCUGCAAAGGAAGAAGUAAAAUAAAUGAGGCUAUAUAUUCUUGUAAUCAAAUGAGACUAGGACUUUAAAACAUGGGUCUAAAGAGUAUUUUAUUCCAUAUCCUUUGCCUUAAAAUUAGAAAACAUAAAUGUUAGUUAAAAAUUACUGUGAAAUAUAUGAACUAA
Molecule: long non-coding RNA, 3621 nt
Filed under: Homo sapiens (human)
Lineage: Eukaryota; Metazoa; Chordata; Mammalia; Primates; Hominidae
Description: HSALNT0204734
Source: RNAcentral